This 65-nucleotide transfer RNA is filed under the name Curtonida isos. RNAcentral describes it as "Munida isos tRNA-Arg". The record is from RNAcentral. Lineage: Eukaryota; Metazoa; Arthropoda; Malacostraca; Decapoda; Munididae.
AAUUAGAAAGCGAAAAUUUGCAAUUAGUUUCGACCUAAGUCUUGAUCUUUCUUGAUCUCUAAUUU